This 468-nucleotide ribosomal RNA is filed under the name uncultured bacterium. RNAcentral describes it as "partial 16S ribosomal RNA". It matches the Rfam family "Bacterial small subunit ribosomal RNA", at positions 28 to 507 of the family's 1533-position model. The record is from RNAcentral.
GACGAACGCUGGCGGCGUGCUUAACACAUGCAAGUCGAACGGAAAGGCCCUGCUUUUGUGGGGUGCUCGAGUGGCGAACGGGUGAGUAACACGCGAGUAACCUGCCCUUGACUUUGGGAUAACUUCAGGAAACUGGGGCUAAUACCGGAUAGGAGCUCCUGCUGCAUGGUGGGGGUUGGAAAGUUUCGGCGGUUGGGGAUGGACUCGCGGCUUAUCAGCUUGUUGGUGGGGUAGUGGCUUACCAAGGCUUUGACGGGUAGCCGGCCUGAGAGGGUGACCGGCCACAUUGGGACUGAGAUACGGCCCAGACUCCUACGGGAGGCGGCGGUGGGGAAUAUUGCACAAUGGGCGGAAGCCUGAUGCAGCAACGCCGCGUGCGGGAUGACGGCCUUCGGGUUGUAAACCGCUUUCGCCUGUGACGAAGCGUGAGUGACGGUAAUGGGUAAAGAAGCACCGGCUAACUACGUG